GGCGAUUUAAAACCUAAUAAUUUUUCACGUGCCCUCGAACAUCGGCAAAAUAGCGGUUCUGAUUGGCAUUGGCAGGGGACAAUUUAAUUAGCAAGUAGGUAUUCUUGAAUUUAUCGUUUAUACUGAUAGUAUAGGUUUUUUUCUUUUCUUUUGGCUACUAGAGCUACAUAACAUGGAUUUUGAAUGGAUUUUUUUUUUGUACGGACCUGAUUUCUUCAUGCCACAUGGUGCUUUCGUUUUGGGGUUAUGUACUCUACUGGCUCUAAUCUAGAAGGAGAUUUUAAGCAACUGUGAGCUAACGUCUAACCUAGACCACUACCAGAGCUUGGCGUUUUGUGAAGUGGAAGAGGUGAAGCUUGGAAGCCUGCAGUUUUUUCUUUGACUGGGAUUUGGAUGUCUGGGAGAGUCUCGAAUCUGAAGUAGUCUGCUGUGUGUGGAGCUAGGUGACACAACAUAACAUUUUUUUUAUUCACUUAUUUUAUUUUUAUUAUCACAACUUUUAUCUUUUGAGUUGAGAUACAUACAUAAGCUUAUUUAAAAUUUUAUUGACAUUAUUUAAUCGAUGCUAUUUUAUUAUUGAAUAUUACUGAUAAGAGUACAUAUAUAUGUGACAAGUGACUCCUGUGAGGUGAGACGCAGCCGGCUUCGUAGUACUACGAGUAUAUACUUGGGUUAUAUUAUUUAUUUUCAGACUACUCCUAAGAUGUCAAAUUUUCUCAGAUUAGCUAGUAAAUAUUAGAGUAAACUAAUAAAAGGGUAAUUUUAAGUGGGGAAGCUUCAACAGUUAGGGUUGUUAUUUUUUUUUUCGCUUAGGUCAAUGUCCGUGGCGGGAUAUACCGGGCCAUGUAAAUUAUUAGUUAAAUUGAAUUGAAGCUUCAUUCCCCAAAAGG
Molecule: long non-coding RNA, 890 nt
Filed under: Anthonomus grandis grandis
Lineage: Eukaryota; Metazoa; Arthropoda; Insecta; Coleoptera; Curculionidae
Description: uncharacterized LOC126745862
Source: RNAcentral